This 28132-nucleotide long non-coding RNA is filed under the name Coffea arabica (coffee). Its description in RNAcentral is "long non-coding RNA (CARA_LNC006104)". Lineage: Eukaryota; Viridiplantae; Streptophyta; Magnoliopsida; Gentianales; Rubiaceae. The record is from RNAcentral.
GGAAAAUAAUGAAAAUGUAGGUACUGAGGUUUUGUCUGAUGCGACCACCUCUAGUAAGAGUGGCGGAUCUGGAGCUUUGGGUGUGAAGGAGGUGCAAUGGAGUGCCUUUAAUACCAAACAGGCUCAGAAUGAUAGUAAUGGGUUUGGAUCCUACUCAGAUUUUUUCACCGAGUUGGGAGAGAAUGCUGGCGAUUCAAGUGCCAAUAUGGUGAACAAUUUUGAUAAUGAGAUAAAGGGUAUAUCUGCCAAUGAAAAACAUGAAUCUGCAUAUUUGGAUAGCUCAAAUUAUGGGGAUUUUCAAGAUAGUUAUAAUUAUGGUACAGCUGCACAUAAAAGUAUAGAGGGGCAGGAUCUAAAUAGCAGUCAAUACUGGGAAAACCAAUAUCCUGGGUGGAAGUUUGAUCCAACUACUGGUCAGUGGUAUCAGGUGGAUGGCUACAGUGCGGGUGUAAAUAUGCAGGGAACUGCAGACUCUAACCCAGCUGGUGAUUGGACUGCUUUUGAUGGAAAGGCUGAGGUUUCUUACUUGCAGAACACUGCUCAGUCUGUUGCUGGAACGGUAGCUGAGAGUGGUACGACUGAGAGCGUCACUAACUGGAAUCAAACAUCAUAUCUCAAUGAUGCUACUGGGGCUGAAUCAAAUUGGAAUCAGGUGUCUCACGUGAGCAGUACGGGUGGAACUACAUCAGAGUGGAAUCAAGGAUCACAAGUAAAAAACGAGUACCCAUCACAUAUGGUGUUUGAUCCUCAAUACCCUGGUUGGUACUAUGAUACAAAUGCCCAAGAGUGGCGAUUGUUGGAUGCAUAUGUUUCAUCUUCUCAAUCAACUACUGGAGCUCAAGAUCAGCAUAAGCAGAAUGUGUCUAUGACAGAUACUCUCUCUCAGUACGACGAUCAGAAGACAUUUGAUACAUAUAAACAGAAUGUCUCUAUGACAGAUACUUUCUCUCAGUAUGACAAUCAGAAGACAUUUGAUACAUAUAAGCAAAACCUGAAUUAUACUUCAGAAGGAUUUGCUGCCCAAAGCCAAGAUUACAACUGGGCUGGAUCAUUUGGUCAUUUCAACCAUCAAAAUUCAAAUAUGUGGCAGCAUGGAACUGCUGUUAAUCCUGAAUCCAGUACAGGUUAUGGGCAAAACCAACAAUUGAAGAACCAUUAUGGCGCAAAUGUUUUGGGAAACAACCGUGUUAAUCAACAGAACUCUAGCAAUUAUGGGGGAACAAUUCCUUAUCAUGAGAGAGGAAGUCAAAGUCAGAAAGAGUUUUCAGCAGUUGGUGGCUCAAAAAACUUUGGUCAUGCGCCUAAUUUUAGUCAGCAAUUUUAUCAGCCAAGUAUUGAGCAAAGUGAACAGAAGCAUGUCUCUGAUGAGUAUUUUGCCAAUCAGAAUUCAGUUAAUUUCCCCCAGCAACAGUUUAACGGUACCCAUCAAUUCUCUUAUGCUCCGACUGCUGGAAGGUCAUCUGCUGGCCGUCCUCCACAUGCAUUGGUUACUUUUGGUUUUGGCGGGAAACUUAUUGUGACAAAAGGAACUGAUUCUAUUGGAGGCUCAUCUUAUGGAAGCCAGGUUAGCUGCAUAAAAGUUUUUUUUUUGAAUUCCUGUUGAUUGAUGAUGCUUUCUCUGAUACCAAAGUUUUUUGUGUAUUCUCUUUAAAGAAUCCUGUAGGAAGCUCCAUAUCCAUUCUUAACUUGAUGGAAGUAGUAAAUGAGAAAGAUGGUGCUUCAGCCCGUGGAUUUGGUGUUUCUGAUUACUUUCGUUCUCUCUGUCAACACUCCAUCUCUGGUCCACUUCAUGGUGGGGGUGGUGGUAUCAAGGAGUUAAACAAAUGGAUUGAUGAGAGAGUUGGGAUCUCUGAUGCUUCUGAUUUGGACUCCAAAAAAGGGGAAGCUUUGAGGCUGCUUCUGUCUUUGCUAAAGAUUGCCUGUCAGCAUUAUGGAAAACUACGUUCUCCUUUUGGUGCCGAUACAUUGUCAAAGGUAAAACUUGAUUUUGAUUUGUUACAAAGUAUUUAAUAUUGAUUGAAUUUGUGGGAAAAGAAUCAUUACAUUUCGAUGUCUGUUGACUAUAAUAUUUCAUGAAAUGUGGUUGGUGGACUACUGCUAGUUUUGUUUCAAUUGCUUUUUGUGGUGAAACUUCUUUGGACCGAGCAGAAACCUGUGUUUUCGGUUUCUCUGAACUGUUUAACGAAUAAAAUCCUGAGUUGGAGUUGUCAAAAUAAUGGAUAAUAAUUUGUGAUAAGAUUGAGGAAAAAAGUCUGAAUUUAGAUGUUUAUUGAAUGUCUCAAAAGGGGCAGGGGUUGAAAAAGAUAAAGUAUCUACUUUCAAAAGUCAAAGAUGUUAUUACAUCCUGGUCUGGUGGUAAAGGGUGAAUGUUGGAAGAAUAGGGGUACUUGGCUUUGAGUUAUCUGCAAAGAAUAUGAUAUUGGGCGCCAUUUUGUGACUGUUUUAGGUUUUAUCAGUUAGGCAACUAGUUCAUGGUAAGCACAAUGUACUUGGACGGUGGGAAGCCACCAUGUUUUUUCCUCUCAAAAUCAUUGCUUAUUCAAUUCUUUCCUCCUACCCCCAACUUUCAGUGGCUUUAUUUCCUUGCUUACAGUUUUGAAGCCAAUCAGGUUGAUUUUCCUGGAAGUAUGAGUUUUCUGUUUUAGUUUUAGUUUUUUUUUUCUCCCUCCUUUGAUCUCCGAUAUUUUGGGGUAUGCCUUCUCUUUCAUUGCUGGUGAUUGUAGGACUUAUAGCUGCCUUUGGUUUCAAUUUGGGCCACCUCAUCCCUUUACGUCAUGCUCUAGAGCCUCUUUAAUAAUGCUCAUGUUGUUUUUCAAGAAACACAGUUUGGGCAUAUUCAGCUGCUGUCUUUGAAAAUAUUUCAAUCCCUUUUUUUGAUGUUAUUAACUUAUCUUCGCUAAUCUCGGAGAUUAUGCAUAGGACAUAUCUUUAUCUGUUGUGUUUCAGAAGUUUAUGUGAAGGUUUCUUCAAUGGAAAACAAUCAUAUUGUCUUUUACCUGUACCAAACAGUAUUGAUGACCAUGGAAUGUUCUCGUCUUUUCUUUCUGGAUUUUUAUUGUGUGGGUGAUGGUUGGUUGUGAUUCAGUGCACCGAUUAGAUGUUAAAACUUAAAAUGAGAAUCCUUGAGAUUGACAAGGCAACUAUUUGUUGGCUCCUUUAGCUCUAGCUGAUUAAUCUCCUGGGAGCCUUGUGGGGAUUGCUGUUUCUCUUAUAGUUAAUAAAGUUGUCUAUGAGAAUUGGUCCUGUGCCUUUUUGCUACAUUAGUGUCAUCUUGAGAUUUACGUGGCUUCUCUGGCUCUUUUGGCUUUUGAAAUUAACAGGAGAAUGAUACUCCAGAAGCAGCAGUUGCAAACCUUUUUGCAUCUGCCAAAAAGCUCGGUGCUCAAUUCAGUAAUUAUGGUGCGAUUGCCCAUUGCUUGCAAAAUUUGCCUUCCGAAGGGCAAAUGCGGGUAUGUGUGUGGUACCUUGUGGUUGUGAUUAUUACUUAUCCAAAGCACUUAUAGAUCACAAUAUUUGUUUAGCCCACUGCUUCUGAGGUUCAAAGUCUCUUGGUUUCUGGGAGAAAAAAAGAGGCCCUGCAUUGAUAUCUCAGAGUAUAGGAAUAUGAAAGUACAUAUAUUAUACGCACUACAAAAGACAGUCGUCGUACACAGGUGCACCUUUUUUUUUUCUGGGUUCUAAUCCACGAAUCCCUAUCCUUAACGCGAGGAAUUGAGGGCCAGCAAAGGUCUGGUGUCUGGGGAGCAAAAAGGCAGACAAAUGAUACAUGCCCACAUGGAAUUUUAUUAUAAUAUAGUCAAUCACAAUUCAAAGGCACUUGCAAUUUCUUGGCCUGCAGACAAUGUGUUUAGUAACCCUAAUAAUAUGGCCACACAUUUCACAUGCAAUGCAUCAGUGCGCAUGGCUUGACUUGCUUCCUCCUGAAAUUUGCAGAAAUCUUAGUGACACCAUUGCUUAUCAUUCUUUAAAGCUAAUCAAGAGACUGCACAAGUAAAAUAUUCAACACUUCGGGGAAAAAAUUCCAAUUGGACAAAUGUUCCACAACUGUUAAAAGUGAGAGCUAAAUGAGUUAAACUAAGAAGUGAAGAGAAACUAAUGCCUUCCUCACAUAUAGCCUAUACGGGAUAUUGCAUGAACAAUCUAUUAAGAAUAGCCAUUCAACUUAAUUAAUUUCCUCAAUGGUUUUUUCUACCAUAACCCCACUAGCCCUCGAUCUUGCCCUAGCAAGCCAGCGUUCAACAUGAGAGAGAGAGAGAGAGAGACUUAUGAGCCCAUGAAAGCACGCUCACUUAUUGUGUCUGCUGUGAAAUUGGCAUUGCUUGAAAGGUACUUUCAAGCAUGAAUUCAAGCCAAGUAAAAAUGAUGUUACAGGUCAAACAAGAAAGAUAAUUCUUGUUUCUCACUUUCAUUGCAUAAUAAUGAACAAAACAACUACAAGUCUCUUUUUCCAAGUAUUAAAAGCCAACUCGAUCAAAUUUUGUCUACCUUAGCUAGUUCCCUGAUUCUUGACCUUACAGAAUCUCCAACUCUUUCCUUUCAAACUCAAAACACCACGAGAGACUACUUUUCGGGUAGUUUAGGCCUUUUUUUUUUUUUUUUUUUGACGUUUUGAGGAGGAAAACUUUGAACAACUGAUUUUUUUAGUCCUUUUUUGAUGGGCUGAAAGGAUUGAGUUUGUGUUUGAGUUUCAGUGCAGAGAUGAAUUUCCAGUCAUGGUAGCUUAGUACGAUGCUCAGGAUGGAAACCUGACUUUUUGACUAACUGAAUAUCAUGCAUAUGUUUCUCUCAAUCAACUUAUGGUAAUGAGUAUAUUUGUUCCUCGUUUUGUUUAAGGGAAUGGCAGGCAGAACAUUCCACAAACGCUUGAAAGAUCAAGAGAAUUUGAACCCCUGAGUUCGAAGGAAACGCAAUUAAUCCCACAAGACACCAUUCACUUGCCUGAUUUCCAGUUCAAUUAGCUCCAAAAGUAACCGAAAACUAAUAGUACUAAACACUAUUUAGACCUAAUUAAGCAUCAGAUUUAGUGUAGUUAAGACAAGGUAAGCUCCUAAGUGAAAUCGUUUGAAAAGCCAACGUAAGUACACAUUCUUAUCAGUAAUCUGUCUCUAGGUGAUGCCAAGUUGUUGGAUAAACAGCAAAGGAACCUAUCUUGCUAGACCUCACCAGAUAGUUUGCAUUUUGCAAAUUAGGUGUGAUCAAUUUUGAGAUAGAUUGUUAGAACUUGAUUUGACCAAUAAGAUGUGUUGAUUGCCUGUAGUUCUACAACUGAGACCGUGAGUUUAUUCCACAAGUAUGUCCACCCCCCCUCCCCCACACAACAAGCCCACAUAUAAGAAGUUAAAGAACGCAAUUCUUGAUGGACUUGUUCCCUGGGUAAAAAGUAAAUACUGGGAGGAUAAUAAUACUGCGAGACACAGACUGAGGAUAACAUCAUAUACUUACAUGAUUGAUUUAUUUCUCUAAUCUUGUUGCAAAGCUUCCAAUACAAAUUGAUAAAGGGUUGAGGGUCUGUUUGCAAACAAGUUUUUGGCGUUUGUCUUUUACAAGUUUUUUAACAACUUUAACUACAAUAAUCUCAAAAAACUCCUCAAAAUUUUUAAACUAUAUACUUCAAAAUAGUCAAAAUUUUUUCAAAGUUUUAGAUAAAUAUCCAAAAAACUCAUUUGUCAAACGGGAUCUGAGUUUAUACUUCUGGUCAUGGCCACUGGUUUAAUAUAUUUAAACCAUCAUUUUCUUAUUGCCACUGGUUUAACAUAUUUAAACCUUUGAGAGAUCAAUGAUUCAAAUCUUAUCUUCCACCAAAUGUCACAAUAUGUGGCUUCUCUAAAAAAAUCUAUAUGAGUGCGUAGUACACCUGUCUGAUCCAAUAGUAAUUCAGUUUCCAUUGAUUCCCUAUAGACUCAGUUGGACCUCCCCGUAGUUAGGAUAGAAUAGGAUAAUAUAUAUAAAGUCCCCUUAGAUGUCCCUAUUGGUCCCCCGUAAACACAAUUGAGCCUUCUCUUAGAUUAGUAUAAAGUAGGAUGAUGUAAAUAAAAUUCCCUUAGAUUAGGAUAAAGUAGGAUAAUAUAGAUAAUGUGACGACGACAAAAGAAAAAACCAUCAUUUUCACUUGAGCAUAGGCCUCUCAAAUUAAGAUAAAAUAGGAUAAUAUAGAUAAAAUCCCCUUAAAUUAGGAUAGAACGGGAUAAUACGGAUAAAGUGCGGAUGAAAAAAAAACAUCAUUUUCACUUGAGCAUCGGCAUAGACUUCUGCUUUUCUCUAAGCUUUGAACAGCUUCUGAGACCAUGACUUUGUCGGCUUGCCUUUUUAACACUUCUAUCCGACAGUAUCGAUGGAAUAUUCUCUCUAAUUUUCAUCUUCAUACGCCGUAAGUUUAGCUUCAUUGUUGGGGCCAGCAUAACAUUUUUUUAAUUGAAAAAAAGGAAAAUCGUCCAAAACGUCUUUUACUAAAAUAAUUUUUUUGUCCUUCACUUUUAAAAGUGUAAUUUUAUAUCCCUUACAUAUUCACAUCGAUCAAAUUUAGUCCCUAACUAGAUUUUCGAUCAUUUUUUAGUCGGAAUCCAUCACGUGCAAGGCACGUAAUCAUUUUUGAAGGGUAAAUUUGUCAAAUUAUAUUUUACAUAAUUUAAUCUAUAGUCCUACAUUUUAUAAAACAAAAUUUUUCGUCCCUCAUAUUUUAUAAAAUAAUUUUUUCAUCCCUCACAUUUCACAAAAUGAAUUUCUCCAUUCCUCACAUUUUCAAAAAAUGAAUAUUUUCAUCCCUCAUUAAUUAUGUGUGUAAGGGAAACCCUAAAAAAUAUAUAUAUAUAUAUAUAUAUGUGUGUGUGUGUGUGUGAAUACAUUUUAUUUAAACACAUAUAUAUGUCUAUUUGAUUUUGCUUUAAUAAUACAAAUAGAAUAAAUAUAUGUAUAUGUCUAUUUGAUUUCACUUAACAAUAUGAAUACCAUAUAUUAUACGUGAUCAUUUGAUUUUAUCUGAUAUUAGCUAGUAAAAAAUCUUGCAUUCAUUGUCAAGUUGGUCAAUAAAGUUAUUUUCGGUCAAAAUACAAUAAGAAUAUGCAAAUUAAGGUUCUAUUGGUAAAUAUUAGUCAUAAUCAUACAAAAAGAGAAGAUAGCCCACAAAUUGGGCCCAAUUACAUACAUGUGUUUAUGCUAUUAUUAUUAAAUAAAAUCAAAUAGACAUAUACAUGUGUUUAAAAAAAAUGUAUUCACACACAUAAUUAGUGAGAAAUAAAAAAAUUCAUUUUUUGAAAUGUGAGGGAUGGAGAAAUUCAUUUUGUGAAAUGUGUGGGAUGAAAAAAAUUAUUUUAUAAAAUGUGAGGGACGAAAAAAAAUUUAUUUUAUAAAAUGUGGAGGACUAUAGAUCAAAUUAUGUAAAAUAUAAUUUGAUAAAUUCAAAUUAAUCCAAAAUUUUUAGCAAGAAAGCCUAAUGAAAUUUUCUCCAUAACUAUAAUUAAAAACUCAUUACCAAAUAACUUAUUGAAGGAAAAAUCUAGUACUGCAUAACUUUGUACUAUAAGUAGUUAAUUUUUGGCAUGGCAUGGCAUGGCCUGUGCUCAAAUUUUCAGUAUAUAGAAGUAUGUGUAUGUGUAGUGGCGGUGUGGUUGAGAGGCGGCGGGGUAGCACCACAAGUGGUAGAAACAGUCUCUCCACCACUUAAAAACGACACCCUCCACUUGUCAGACACUGGCUAUCACUCUACUCCGCUCCUCUACUCUUAACUAACUUCACUCUCUUCUCAUCCACAACCAACUAACUUCGACUAAAAACUAGGACUUCCGUCACUUUACUACACAACACCACACAACCUUCACUCUUGUCUGGUCUCACCCACAAUCCAUGCCACUUUUUAUGUUGUCAUGUUUAUCUUUAUCUUAAACUGUGUAAAAAGCGCAGGAAGCAGCACCAGCUUAUAUAUAUUUUACUGCUGCCACUGCUACGUACAACCAUUUCAAGUACUCUUGCAUUCUUAACUCGCCACCAAUUGUACUGAAAAACACACUCACUAGAAGUCCUAAUCUCUCCCCAAAAAACAAAAAAAAAAAGAAAGGAAAAAAGUGCUAACAAUGGGAAUGGCGGAAGAUCAUGUUGGACAAUUGCAAGAACCAACUUUCAAGCACUUUUGCAGGGUAUGCAAAAGAGGGUUUGGAUGUGCCGGAGCUCUGGGGGGUCACAUGAGGAGCCAUGCUGUUGGAGAUGUUCGGAUGCAUCAAUCGAGUCGCGAUCAAGAAAUAGGCACCAGCAGCUUCAUGAGAAGCAAUAAGGGGGAAGGAGGAAGCAAGCAUUCGUACUUCCUCCGAACCAAUUCCACCAAUCGAUUCACCGGUGCUUGUCGAGCUGGUGAAGAUCUUCAAGAAUUUAAUAAUAAGAGGACCUUCACCCGCUCUGCUUUCCAUGAUGAACGCGAGAAAUUUUCAUCUUCCGUGUCGUCUUCUGAAUCUGAGGUUGAAGAGAUGAUGCUCAAGUCCGCGCGAGCAAAAUCCAAAAAUUACGAGGACCGGCAUUGUGCCGCCUCCAGCGAAGAAGAGGAUCUCGCGAAUUGUUUGGUGAUGUUGUCAAACGAAUCAUUUGUUCAGUCGGAUAAGGAGCAGGAAAACACGGACAAACACGUGGAAAAAGGUACGUUCCAGUGCAAAGCUUGUAAGAAAGUGUUCAAUUCCCACCAAGCACUGGGGGGACAUAGAGCCAGUCAUAAGAAGGUGAAAGGUUGUUAUGCUGCCAGAUUCAACUGCAGCACCAACCUCAAUGAUCAGGAUAAUGACAAUAAUUACGAAGAUGCCUUCUACCAACACGAGGAACAUUUGGCUCCGUCAGAAAAUUCUUCAGAGCCAGGGCUUGAUCUUGAUUUCUCACCUCAUCAUGAUCACCUUCCAAAAAAUACUACAUUGUCAAAAAGGAAGUCCAAAGCUCAUCAAUGUUCGAUUUGUCAGAGGGUGUUUUCAUCAGGACAAGCCUUAGGUGGGCACAAAAGAUGUCACUGGCUAACCUCAAACUUACCUGAUAAUACUAUCAUACAGAACUUACGUGAGCUCCAAUUUGAUAGCCAACAACUAUUCAAGAAGCCUAUGCUCACAAAACCCGAGCCACUGCCUCUUGAUCUCAAUUUCCCUCCAUUGCUGAACAAUGCGGUUGAUAAUCUGCACAUGAACUCAGCUGAUGAUCCCCUCAAUCACGAAGCCCCAGCUAGAAUUUUUCUCCAACUGUGGGGUAACGAAGAGGCUGACAACAGUACUAGUAAUAAUAAUCAUCAGCAGAACUAUACUACUAAAAGCGUGGUUCGUGGUUCAUUGCAUGAUGAGGACGAAAGUGCUAAAGAAGAUGGUUAUAGAACGGAGCAGACUGCAAAACUGAGUAAUCUGAAAGAUAUGAAUUUGGAUGGAGGGUCUUCUCGGUGGUUACAGGUGGGGAUUGCUUCAACUACUGAUAUCACAGCCACCCCAUGAAGUGAUUGUUAGUGUUAGUAAUUAAUUAGUUAUCUACUUUAAGCAAGACUUGUAAUUAUUACAUGUUCUUCCAUGUUAAACAUAGAUAUAUUUGAUUGUCUCUCUGGUGGAAAUUCAAUUUACAAUUUCAUCAAUUUGUGCUCUAUUUUUUUUCCUACUGCCAAUAUUGAGUCUGCUGCCUUUUUUAAAAACAAAGAAGUGAUAGUAUAUAUUUUGUAGCUAAUGGCAUUACGGAUUUUUUUUUUCUUUUUUUUGUGGUCUUAUCUCUAGGGGGCCUCCCUCCCUACUGUCAUAUCCAGGUUCAAAUCCUGAAUCUGGCAUUUGAGAGUGAAGGGAGGGGUUAAACAAAAAACUUUUGUGUUUUAUGCAGAUACGGAAGAAGAACAUACAAAUAUAUCGAAAAAAAAUGUGGGAAAGAAUGAAGAAGCUAGCAUGUUGUGUAUAUGGAGUCGGCUGUGUUGGCUAAAUGCUGGCAUGAGAAUCACAUAAAAAACUGUUUACCCAAGCUGCGAAGUCAAAGUCAGAUACAAAGUACUAAUAAAACCAUGUGAUUAAUUAGGACAUUUACAAUUGAUCGUUCUUCCAUAAAUUACCCCAUAUGCAUGGAUUAUUUUUUCAAUCAGAGGAAAAUGCAUGGAGCUUGGUGCUUCACUUCUCCUAUCAAUGUAUUGUCUAGAAUUGAAGUGAAAAAGAGCAGUUGCCUGUUAUUACAUGGUGUAAGAAAAAAUGGUUGAUUUUUUUUGUUUUCUCUGCUACUUUUAAUUCAUUGAAAUCGUUAGUACUCAUGUCAUACGUAGCUGGUUCACACCAUUUUGAAAGGCCUCCACCCCAGCCCACCACAAAUAUCAUAUCACAUACGGUACCGGCGGCCAACAGGACAUCAUGCCCUGUGUCUCCAGCCGAUCAUCUUCAACGAAGACCAGCUAAACAUAGAGCCAAAAAUUGUGCUCCUGUUCUAGCUCAUGCAGGGAGUUGAAGGUCCAUCUACAAAGGACCACCCUGUAUCACAUAUUUAUAGCUCCUUCUUUAUGAAUUAAAGGGUGCCGUGAGAUGUUAGUGAUUUGCUGCAACUUUGUCGGUCAUUAUUAGCUCUAAAAGUCUACACUAUAUUACAAGACGGACGCUAUGACAUAGAGUAUGGUUAAGGAUGCUAACAAGUUUGAUCAAAUUGAACACCUAGUAUUUAAGCUUAUUCGAUUGUUUUAAUGAAUUCAAAAUUUUGUUUAAAUUUGGCUUGUUUAUUUGUAAAACCAAAUUUCAAGAGUGAAGUGAAAGCAAUGGUUAACCACUGGGCCAGGCCUCUGGCCCAGUGGCCACCAUCUCUUUGGUGGGGUCCACCAGAAAUACCACGUUUCAGUGGUUUGUCUCCAAAAAUUCAGGCGGAUGUACUGUGUACUCGUCUGGUUCGGUGGUGGUUCAGUCCUUUCCGGUUUAUCCCUGGGCCUACUUAGGUCCGCCUCCUUCCCCUUAGUAUAGGAUAAAUUAGGUUUAUCGUCUCCGAAAAAAAAAAAAAAAGUGAAAGCAAUGGUUAGAAAAGUGCAAACGCAUCCAGAAAUCGAGGAAUGCCUCUGCUGUGGAUGGCAAUGAGUUUCUGAUUUUUAGAUUAAUAUCUCAGACUUUUCCACAAGAUCGAGAUGCUUAUGGGCAUGCUCUUAUUUGUUUGUAGUUUCUUAAAUUAUUGCAAAUAAGUUAUUGGAAUUUUGAAAAAAAAAAAAAGAAGUAAUUUGUAAUAGAAAACUUAAUAAUUUACUCUAUAAAGUCAUAUUCUGAAGGUUUCCUUUUUCCUUCUUCCAAUAUUAAAGUCAUCAAAAUCAAGCAAAGGAUAAAGGUUGGAAAUAUACUUAAUUACUAGUAGAACAUAGUCCCUUGACUUGAUAGGCCUCCUCCGUAACAUUUCGUUGGAAGGAAAAAUUCCGCUGCCAAUUGCAAAUGUCAUUAACAUUUUUCCUUUGAUUUGUAUUAUAUUAUAUGCCUUCAAAUGGACUACUAAUUAGUAAUAUAAAUCAUCUUAAAUUAAAUCUAAAUCUACCGACUAUGACUCAAAGAAUCAGCCGAGGGCUUGCGUGACAAUGAAGGGCGGGGGAGGGGUGAGAAUGGCGCGUGGGAAACAAAGCAUGCGCAAUAACAGGACACGUCCAUGUACUGCAGAUCAUACCUGUUCUUUGUAUCCGUGGCCAUUGGCAUCUUCAACUUUCUCAAAAUUGGCUGCCUAGGAAUGCGUGUAAUCAUGUUUGGGGCAUAUCAACGAGACAGUUCGUAUCUGAUUCGUACAAUUAGUGUCAAUUUUGGUUCAGAAAUUAGCGUCAAAUUUGUUUCGGCGUAGAUUUAUUGAAUCGUUUAUGCCUUGCCUUCUUCAUCUGCGUUCAUGGAGCAUUACAAAUUUACAAAUUGAAGUUCUUGAAGGUUGCAUUUUCAAGUUGACCGUUCCUUAUAUAGAUUAAAGUAGAGUAAGAGUUGACAAUUGACCAAAAAAAAAAAAAAGAAAAAGAAAAAAGGUUCAAGUUCCCUACUAAACAUUAUUGUUGUUGUUAUUAAUCACAAAAGAGAAAAAGCAAAUUAAUGCUUUGAUGUUGUAAAGAGUGCAAUAAAAUUAGUAGCAAAGUUUAUAAUAAUGGUAAAUACUAGAGAAAUAAAAAAGGCUAAUUAAAAAGGUUUCUGUAAGGUAAACAAUGAAAAAAAAAAAAGAAAAGAAAAAUCCAAUCAUUGCAAACGCUCUCUGCAUAGGAAUCCUAUACAAUUUUUUUAUUAUUAUAGGAUCAAUGUUUUUACAUUAUACAAAAAUGCAGCAUCUAUUCUAGGAGUUGUUGAAUAGUUUGAGAAGACAGAAUAAAAAUGAAUUACUUGAGGAGUGACGACAUCCAUCUUCAGGAGAAAUAGGUAUAGAGCAGAUUAUUAUCGAUCGUCGAAAAAAAAUAAAUAAAUGCCCGUCAGCUCGGGGGAAUCAUUCGCUAAAAUUUUCGGUUGGACUUGCCCUGAUGGCGUUGCAGGAGUCGUGAAGCGCCGGGCCGUCAUGGAACUGAUGAGUACCACACUCAUUACUUGAGGAGUGAGGACAUCCAUCCUCAGGAGGAACAGUUAACAACUUACCACUUUUAUAUAUAUAUAGUAGGUGUUACUAUCACAAAGAUCCUAUACUUGUAUAAGACUAGAUUUCAUUAUAGUCUAACAAUUGAUAAAUCUUAUCCUUCUCUAAACAAAUUUACUUAAGAAGAGAACCUAAAUUCUUAGGGCUUGUUUUUUAACUGAUUCUGAUUUUAUAAAAAUUGAUUUUGUAUAAUUAAUUCUUGAAAAUCAUAUUUUUCAUAAUAACUCACGUGUUCUCGUUUAUUAGUUAAAAAAAAAACUAUUUUAAUGAAUGCAUCAGUGUUCUCAAGAAAAGUUAAAAAGUUGUUUUUGACAAAAAUAUUAUCAAUUUACCCUUAUAUGCUACAUAAAUAAAAUUUUUACUAAUUAAUUAAUUUUUAUGUAGAUAAUUACUUUUCUUGUGAAGAUUCAAUGUUGGAUAAGAAAAAAGGAAUUGAGGGAACACAGAUGAACUAAAAGUGGGGCAAAAAUUGGAGAAGAAUAAAGAGACAUGCGACAUAAAAAUUUAUCUAACCUUUGGGUAGUAAUUAUGUUAAAAUUUGAAAGGUAGUUUAGUUGAUGUUUAGCUUUGUUUUAUCCAAAAAUUUGAAAAUUAUGUAUUUAAAAAUCAGUUGAGAACACAACAAAAUAGCGUUUCGAAAAUCAAAAACUAUAAUCAAGUUUCUAAAAUGAGUUUAGAUCGGAUCAUAUUUUUGUCGUCUACUCUAAAGACGUUUGUGCCCGAAAAUAUAACAUUUGAUCAAAGUGAAGAAAACUAUGGCCCCGUUUGACAAGUGAAUUUUUUGGAUGUUUAUUUAAAACUUUACUGUAACUUAUUGUAGAAGUUGUAGAAAAAAUUUUUAAAGUGUGCAAGUUUUUGGAUAUUUUGAAGUGUAUAGUUUAAAAACUUUGUGAAGUUUUUUGAGGUUAUUAUAGUUAAAAUUGUUAAAAAAUUUGUAGCAGACAAACUUGACCAAAAACUUACUUAACAAAUAAAGGUCUAUAGUUAAACCAGCAUGUCCAGUAAUUUAAGAACUCUAACUUAUAGUAGCAUAAUUUUUUUUCCCCGUGUGGAUUGAAGGUAUAUUAUCACUAUUUUUACAAAUUGUAUUCAAUUAGGCCAAAAAAAAAAAAAAAUAGAGCAGAGAAAGGGAAAUUGACACACGCCUCUGAUACAGUGGCGGAUGCGUCAUCAGCAUCAUUUCUGUUUGUUCCAUAAUUGAUGCUUGAAGCUGGAUUGUACUAACUGCAUUACGAAUGCUCUGCGCUAUUAGACUCACCUGGCAAAACGCAUUUCUUUCGGCCUGCAAUUUGCAGGCUGAAUCAAUUGUACCGACCGGCGAGCCGGACUGGACUGGGCAGCAAGACUCGAAAAGCCAUUUUCUUGGUUAUCCUUUUCUUGUCACGUUCUGAUCUCAUUCUUUGAGAAACUGCGAAUAUUUACGGACAGUUUGAUACUUUAUAUUGUUCCAAUUCUUCUUUAAUCUGUUUAAAAAAAUGACUUUCUUGUUGCAUAGCUAUCAGUAGUAUGUUCAAAACAAGUCAUUUUGCCACAAUAAAACUGAAGUUUGUGAGUUGCCUCAUCAAUUUAGAGAUCCUUUCAUGAAUUAUAAUUUCGCUAAAGUUACCUCAGUUUAUGAUUCACUGACAAUGGGCAACUAUUAACAGUCCUCGUUCCUUAUUAUUUUGAAGUGACUUUUAUGCGGAAACUGAUCCUCGUUACAUCGUAACGGAAAUGGGGCACGGCCAUGAUGCGGCCUCAAAAAUUUGUGCGGUUCAGAUUACAGCAUGUAACUCGAUUUUCACGUCAUGUGUGUGGCUCACAAAAAAUUGUUCUAAAGUUACUCCAUGUGUAAAGAAAGUUACGCGAUGUCCAAAAAAUAUUACGCGCUGUUAGAAAAUGCACAAACCGACACAAACGGUUGCACCGUUUGUGCCCCAUGUCCAAUCGUAACGGAUAGGCUAAAGUAGCAGUAGUAAUAGCUUUUGCAUUGUUGACGUGAUCUACGGGUUACUUUUUCUGAAGAAAGCGCUACUAGACAUAUAAUCUCUAAAUCACCACAUACAAGACGUGCCAAUAUUGCACUCAUGAUAGUUAUAUUAAAUGUUUUUUCAAAAUUAAAUUUCUAUAACGUGGACCAUAUUCAAUGGACAAUAAUUCAAAGUUCAAAAUAAAGGCUGUUUAAAGAAAUGAAAUUUAUUAUUAUUAUUAGCAUAAAUCAUCAACCAAAAAAGGAUCAAGAAAAGUGCAGCAGCCCUUCUUAUGGCACGAAGCUUUAUCAUCAUCAAUGCCCUGCCCGUUUGGUCACAACAAACCCCAACGAUUCAUUGACUCGUGCGAGAUGGGCACGUAUUGGUUUUAGCGACACUUAUAGAGCUCAUGAUCGAGUUUGUUAACUGCCAUGGAAGAAGAAUAUUGUGUUAAUGGGUCUAAUCACAUUUUUUGAGAAAAAGAGAUGAUGCAGGAAUUAAGUAAGUGGAUCAUCAAUGUGCUGGAAGAUAAUGACAUUAUGUGUUUAGGUAGAGAAGUAAAGAGCACUUAUUGUGGUAACAAUUUGGAUUCAAACAUUUAAGUCGUAUAUUUCUGCAAUUGAGAAUUUCACCGAGAGCAUUUAUGCAUUAUGUUAUUUGACGAUGAAGUUUAAGAAUCAAAGUGAAAAAAUCAAAAGUAUAGUUGAGGGUGCAAAACGAAAUUAACACUAUUUAUUAUUUUUUCUCAAACCAUCCUAAAUAAAUCUUAGUUCCACCAUGUCAAAUUAGAACUUCAAUAUUGUUUGGAUCGUGAUUUUUCGCAGGAACACAAAAGUUUUGCGUCUUUCGUGAACACGUUUCUCAGUUAUCUUUUCAUCUCAGUUUCUGAUUUGUGUCGUGACAAUCUAGAACAGUUUCCUUGAAAGGCAUAAAAUGGUCCUCUGUCUUAAAAUUGAAGUUCAUAGAAGCCGAUUUAUGAUAUGAAACACUUUUAAAAACGCUACUUCGCCUAAAAGCCGCAUAAAUUUGCACUGCGCGACUUUAUUAAGGGCCAAAGUGGACUUGAGUAAAUUGGCCGCAUAAUCUAGGGACUAUAGUAGUAAAAGUGUCUGGUAUCGAACAAAACUAUGGGAGAACUGAAGUAAAUGGAAACCAAUUCAAUUCUACCAAAUUUAGACGAUUUGGUGGUGGUCUGCAAUUCAAGACAUAUUAUUGCUUGCUUGCUUGUUUGUUUAACUAAAUCCUAAAUCACAAAUUUUGGUGGAAAUGAAUUACAGUAAAAUCUCCCAUGCCAUGAGGAACAGUCCUAGAAACAGAAAACACCGCCUCUUAGUACUCGCAUCAAAGUUUGGAAUAAAGAAACAAAACUACGGAAAUGGCAAGAUUUGCAUGUUCCUUGUCCCUCUUUAUGUCUUCAUCCAUUCAUCCUUGUCACGCCUUUUCCAAUUUUCCCCCCUAACCUUCCAAUUAUAAACUUUGCCAAGUGAAAUCAUCACCUUCAAUUACAUUUUACAACUAAUUAUGCAAAUAGAAAUCCAUCCUUGUAAUUACUUCCGUCCCAAUUAAGGUCCAUCUAAAUGACAAUUUUUUUUGUGUGCAUAUAAUCGUAAUAUGUGAGCUGUUGGGCUUAACAAUAAUAUAGGUCUCCCUUGUACCAUUAUUAUCAUCAAAAAGAAAAGAAAAGAAAAAAGGGUUAAACUCAAGAAUUUAUAAUUGUCUUUUUCUUUCUUUUUUUUUUUUUAAUUUGUUUGGUAAAAAAUGAAAUAUUUUUGGGUGGAGUGUGGCUUUUUGGUGGAAGAAUGCUUGUCACCUACUCCUCUUAAGUUCCUCACUCCCACCGUACUUUUACUACUCACUUCUCCAAAGCUUAUAGGACAAGAGAGAGAAAAUCAAGGCAGCAGCUAUGUUGAGAGAGAAACUCAACUGAGCUGAAUAUAUAUGUACUGCUAGAAGUACAGAGCACACUACACAUUCACUAUACAAGAAAAUUAAAGAAGAUUACAAGAAAACCUCUUCAAUCUUUGGCGUUGUUGUGCGGUGAAAAAAGCCAAAAAAAAAAAAAGAAAAAUGGUGAGACCGGAGAGACACAAAUGUAAGCUUUGUUCAAGGAGUUUUCCGAGUGGAAGAGCUUUGGGUGGUCAUAUGAGGUCCCAUUUGGCCAACUUGCCGCUUCCUCCCAAGACACCGCAAAAACAGGAAGCCAGCAGCCAGCUCCCACCACAGCCCGGUGGUGACGCCUCAACCGAGUCAACAACUUCAUCUGAUUGUUCUUUGUCAGAGGAGGAAGUAGUAGUAGUACAAGUGAAGGAAUGUGCAGCUGAAGAUAAAGGGCUGGUUUAUGGACUCAGAGAGAAUCCCAAGAAGAGCUUCAGGAUGGUAGAUCCUCAGUUCUUGGAUGGUGGUUCGGUGGUUGUUCAAGACAGAGGAAGCGAGACCGAGUCAACUAGGAAACCAACUCGGCAAAGAUCCAAGCGAACUCGGAGAAUGCUUGUGUCUGCUGCUAAACAAGAAGGAGCUGAUGAGGCACUGAUUAAGGAGAAGAAAAUGAUGAAGACAACUGAGUCAUUGUUGGAGUUGGAACAACCGGUGAGUUCGGUCUCUGACACUUCACCAGAAGAAGAUCUUGCUUUAUGUUUGAUAAUGCUUUCUAGAGAUGUUUGGAGGAGGACUAGUACAACAACAACAACUACUACUACUACUACUACUUCAUAUGACUCCGCAGAAGAGUUGAAACUCGUGAAUAGUAGUACUAAAAGGAGGCACAAGAAGCAGAAGAAGAUCAAGAUUAAUAAUAAUGAUUCUUCAUCUGAUCAAGAAGGCGAGUCCUCAGAGGAAUUAGAAUUACCAAGAAAUGGUGUUAGUAGAAGUUGUAGCAUUAAAAAUGUGACGGUGGACAAAAAAGUGCAUGAGUGCCCAUUUUGUGGCAAAGUUUAUGGGUCAGGUCAAGCUCUCGGUGGCCACAAAAGAUCACACUUUUUGGGUUCAUCAACAACAUUAACAACUACAGCUACAGCAGCCACAGCGGCUGAGAGCUUGUUACUGGAAUCGUCAUCAAAUGCUGCUAAAUCUCAGCAAGGUACGUUGUUAAUGAUAGAUCUUAACUUGCCAGCUCCAAUGGAAGAUGAAGACAUUGACGAUGAUCAUCCUCAUGAAAGUGAAGACUUUAAUUUGCAUCAUAGAAGAGGCUUCUGCAGUUUCAGAUGCUGAUUUCACCAAUCCCAUCAACCAUUGACAAUCAACAAAUUUUAGAGAGCCUAUCAGUAUUCCUCCUUUGCUUUUUUAUUUUUAUUUUUUAAAAGCAUUUCCUAUUUUUGAGUUUCUUUGUGGCAAUAUGGUCGAUUCAGUUUUUAUCUAUUUGUAGGAAUGCAUUAACUUCAAAUUGCCAAUGUAAGCUUACUCUCCCUAGUAUCCUUCCAUUGGUAGUUGCAAACGUGCAAUACAUUGCUUUGUUUCGAUAUCUUCACAAGAAAUGUGCAGUUAGUCGCUGUAACUACUGGUGCGCCUGUGGGGCGCACCAGCUAGCUAGUGGGGUUACAGGAGAGCAAGAAAGACUUUGCAUUAUUCUACUGGUGAUUAAUUUCUAUACAUUUAUGUCUUCCCUUAAUUAGCUUGCAAUUUUUUCAGGGAUAUGUACAAUAUUGGUAGUAUUACACACUAUUAUCCAUCAUCCCAUUUUUCUUUCUUUCUUUCUUUCUUUUAUCCUCUGGGGACUUCAGUUUAUCUCGUAGUUCGAGGUUUGUGUGCAUGGUGGCAAUUCUCUUAAAGUUUUGCUUGUGAGACAAGAAUUUUGUUUCUGAAAAAAAGUAAGAGCACCAUAUUAAUUGUGUCCAGUGCUGCUGUCUACUUGUGAAAUUAAUCAAACUUAGUUCAGUUCCUGUUUACAGCUGUUGUUACCUUCGUGAUCUGUUCCCUUCUUUCGGUGUGGUAUAAAGAAUUCCAGAAAAUCCCAUUUCUUUUGUUCUCUCUCAUCAUUGGCUUGGUGGCUUUGUCUGCUUAAAGGACAGGGUUCCAGACUUCCAUUUCCUCCCUCCAUCCAUGUCCGCCAGAAUCUUGAUUUUAAAGACCGAAUUAACCUCUCAAAAAAGUGCAUGUGAUGUGAUUAAGUGCCAUUCUUGCAUGGACCCCUCCCUAGUCUCAUGGAUUAGCAACGUUGCUGGGAAGUUGACCUCAGAAUAUCCAAUCCUUCAAUCAAUUUUGGCUUCUCACAUGUAUAAACAAAUGUUUUUGGUGGCUUUGAAACGGUCCAAGAGCCCGAGAAAGUCAGUAGACUCAGUAAUAGUGCAGCUGCAGGCUUGCAGCUCAUGCCAUCAUGAUUGAAACCAGCCACUUUAUUGAUAUUAAAUAAAUUAGCUUCAAAUUCGGAUAUAUGCAUAGAUUGUUGUUCUAGUCACAUAAUUCAGAUUAUAAAUGCUACUCUUCACUUGAUCUUAGCCAAAAAUGCCGAGAAAGGUACUUGUUAAUGCUGCGACAUAUAAACACUGCAGUUACAGUUUUCAGCUGAAUACCUGGUCCAAGCUCCUAAGCUUUAACUUGGAGUUUGAAAUCAAUUGGUAUGAAUAAAGGUGAGAAAACAGGUUAGGCAGAGAGUAGAAGAAAAAAAAAAUCUGGGACCAUAAGUUACUCGUGUGUGUGUGUGUGUGUUAAUGAUGAUGCUCUAUUCACCCAAGAAAUUCCACUUCCUUUUCUUAUUCAGAUGAAGAUCCAACAUGUGAUUCAAGGUCUCGUUUUAAAAGGGACAAAAAUAUAGGAAAAACAGUAGUGAGAGGUCGAACAAAUUGACACUUAUUUUUACAGCAAAUUCAUAAAAGUGUCUAAAAAAAGUAUUUCGGCUUGUGUCAAUGAGCACCGAAAAUCAAGAAAUGCGUAGCUUCUUCAAAGUAAAAAUGAUAUUUCCUAAUGAUCGGCUCUUGCAGCAAGGGAUGAUUGGUUUUCAUUACGUAACAUCUAAUGAUUCAAUCAAAUGGUUACACCAAUUCAUUGAUCAGGCCCAAUUCACUUCUCAUGCAUGUGUUUUUUGACCCUAAGUGCUCAAAGAGAUUCUUACAAAUCGUCUGUCUGUCGAUAACGGUGUUCACAUCGGCACUGAGAUUUCGAAUACACGAUUUUUUGUGAGAAAGUGACAUGUUCCUAUCAAUUGAACCAAACCUGCGUCGUCGAAACCUGUGUCGACAGCUGCAUUUUUUCUCUUAGCAGUAUUACCAUGGAUAUCUAAAGGACAAAUAAUCUUUCUUUCUCCACAAUCCCCGUACCCCGCUGAUGAAGGGCAAAUUAAUAUCCCCAUUCAGCGCCAGAGUCACAUUCUGAUCUUCUUCUUUACUUUUUACGUGAAAUGGCCACCCCGAAUUUACUCAUGAGCAGCAGAAUAUUAUCGUCAUUUCUGGCCCGUAAUUAAUCUCCUUUUAUCUUGAAUAAACCAGUUGGUUGGAUUGGGAAUUUAUUGCAGAAUUUCUAUCCGGAGUACAAAUCCUGAAAUUUGAUUGCGGAUAGAAUUUAAUUGUUUCACAUAAUUUAAACCAUUUCUCCUACUCCUCACUCGGCAAUUUAUGCCUUUGGUUGGAGCCUAGAGGCGACACCAACUUUGAGUUUGCGGCAUCAAAGCCGCGAGUCCCUGUCCCAGCUCUUCAUUGUCAGACCUACAUACAUAUGUAUGUAUUUUGUGUGUUUGUUUAGACCAAGACCCACCUCGUACAGAUACCAAACCUAUCUCGUGGUACUUUAAAAUUCUGGAUCAAAGAUUAGGAACUUUUAACUACUCCCUGCCGCGAACGACGAUGGAUUGAGCAUUUCGGUUUUCCAAAGGUGUAAAUGUUUUAUUUAUUACACUUCUUGAAUAUAGGUGCCCUGUUGAAUAGAUAAGAGUUAAAGCAUCGUUUGUUCGAAUUUCACUAUCAAUACGAGGAUUAUGUUGACGGAUAUUCUAUAAGCAUCCGUGUAAGUUAUUCUCGGGACAUAUUGCGAAUCUGUAAUAGGAACUGAAAUAAAAAAACCACCCAAACGUCCUCAAAUUUCAUACAACAAAAACGUCUACACAAUUGUACUUUAUUAAGUAGUUUUACAAAGUUUCACCGAAUCAAUAAUAUGGUUAAGGUUCUCAGUGUAGCCUGAAAGUCAGCAUGCCUUUUGGGUUGGACUGUAGGUUUCCCUUAGGUAGUGUGUGUGUGUGUUAUUUGCGGUUGUUUGGAUAAGGAAAAUCAUGGAGUGGUUAAAAGCCGUUGGUGAGCCUUUGGCAAGAGUCUUGGUGUUUCCCUCUCCCCCAUUCCCUCUAUCCCACAUCGAUUGUGAGUGGCGUGUGUGUGUACUACUUAACGUCCUCAAUGUAGCCUGAAAGUCAGCAUGCCUUCUGAGUUGGACUGUGGGUUUCCCUUAGGUAGUGUGUGUGUUAUUUGCGGUUAUUUGGAAUAAUAUGGUUAACUAAACUAAAGUAUGAAAUCACACGAUAAUGUUUUCAACAUUAAGCAAUGGCAAUGGGAUUACUGUAUUAAUAUUGUUGACGUACUUAUUCAUUUAAUCUCAUAUUUAAAAAAUAAAAUAAAAAAAAGGGGGCACGGGAUCUUUGCAGGACAAGGAAACAAAUGUCGUGAAGCUUUCCGAAAGUAACAAUUUUGAGUUUCGAAUUUUCACCAGUGCAUAUUGCAAUCUGAGAAUUUCCAACUUGAGUUUCUCUCUUGUCUGCCUUUUUUAUGGUUCUGUUACUAAAAUAAACAGCAAUCCCUCUAGAUUGUAUAAAGAAUUUGGGGUGGAAACCUAUUUGCAAAAUCAAAGGAUCAUGUCAUAGAUUUUGUAAAAUUUCUAAAGAAAUCCGGUAUAUGCAUACUAUCUAAACUACGUACCUAGUCUGUGGACUUUGAAUCUUGGUCCCCGCACGAACCAAUGGGCAGUUCGGUUUAGCAAUUUUCAUCAUCAUUGAUGACUGAUGACCAUACUAGUAGUUUCCCACGGAAAUUCUUAGUUGCCUGUGAAUUUUAGCCUGCAAAUAAUCCUGAAGUUGUUGAAUGACCCCCUUGCAAAUAAUUAUAUCAAUUUAAAGACAUUUCUAGUCUGCAAAUAAUCCUCAGUUAUUGAAUGGCCCUCUUGCUGAAUUGAUUUGUUCACUUUCGUGUGUAUAACUAUACAAUGUAUAAAGUAUCAUACGAUAGCCAAAGUCUAUGCACAAUUGAUUCAAAUAACAUUUUUAGGUAAUUUGUGUUUGGAUUGCAUUUUUCAUGAUUUUUCAUGAAAAAAAUACUGUAGCUAUUUGAUGUAUGUGAGGGAAAAAGGUAAUAGAGAAAUGUGAUCACAGAAAACGACGUAAUUUUUUGACGAAAAACAGCAAUCCAAACAAGACUGGCAUAAGAAUUAGUGACUAUUGCGCUUCUUAUAUCAUCAUUACUAAUACAAGGUUUUAAAUUCUAAACUCAAAGAAAUCGUAAAAUAAGACAUACCGGUUAUGAUUAAUAGACUUUAAAUUAACUAAUUAGUCUUCAUCCAAUUUGGGCAUUCACAGUUUAAUUUGCUAAUUUGGGCUUCCCAAGGAAUCAACAGCUUUCCUAUGCGUCUAAUAAUGACUCGAUUCGGAUGGUCCAAAAUGGAUUACAAAGUAUAUGGGUUAACUAGAGACCUAAAAUGGGCUGAACCCUUGUCUUCCAUCAAAUUGUCACUGUAUAUAUGGCUGUCUUAAGUAACUUUUUCCAAUGGGGUUUCUACUCCUAUCAACUCCCCCUCCUCCUAGAUUAGGUUAUACCUAAAAUGGGACGUUUAAAACUAAAAGAACAUGAAAGAAAAUGAAAAAUUACCCAAGGGCCGUUUGGUAAUAAAACUACUGCUGGUCAACUUCAGUUGUGCCUUCUUUCGAAAAACGAAAUUUGACUAAUUAAAUCUAAUUCCAGAAGUCAACCCAAAAGCCGGCAACUCUUGGAUUGCUCCCAAGAACUUAACUACCCAAAAUUUGUGCCACUCAGUCAAAAUUUGGAAAGUGCAGAAAAGAACAAUCAAACAAACGCUGAGGUGGCGAGUACGACCUUUAUGGUCAACAUCCACAAAUCAUUUCUUUCUUUUUUUUUACAUCGACAAAUCACAUCUCUGAAAAAUCUCUUUGUUAUAAUUUGGAUUCACAUGAUGCAUCCAAAAAUAUAGUUCAAAAAAAAAAAAAAGAUUCCUUCAAUUAUAUUCCGAAAGCGUGAGGUAAAAAAUUCCCAUGCUUCAAGUUCUAAGCCAUCUAAAACCAAAUCCUUAGCCAAAUAAAACCAAGUCUACCGAGUAAAUAAAACUAAUUGUGUAAAAAGAAAGACUAAGUACUCCUGCUAAAACUAAACUAAAUCAAGUUAUUAGACUUAGUUCCAUAAUCCACUCAGAAUUUUGUGAACAAAACCUUGACAUCUUCUCCAUAAAUCUUUUCAUAGAGCUGUAGUAAUUCUUCUAAUUCCCCACAGGUAAAGUGAACUCAACAAAACUUCUAGCUCAUUUUGGAACAAUCUCAACGUUGUCAUCAACUCUUUCUUGAUUUCUACUAAGAAGUCGCCUCAUCAAUUAUCAUCACCUCUUUCUGAGCAAUCAAGGCACGCCGCAAAUUCAGGCUUAAUCUUUGAUGUAUUUGUCAGCUGCAAUCCGAUUUUCUUCACUUCUGGGAAACCCGUUUAUGAGAAACUUCUUGGUUUGGCGUUCCCCUUAAUAAACUACGACACUUACGUAACCAAAGCAUAAUAACAGUGCUGUAAAAAGGAGUUUCCAGAUAAGGUUUAGAAUUUUGUUCCGCACAAAUAAUACACAAACAAAUAAUUAAAUAAUUAAUUAGGGCGGGAGAGGUUAUUGAUAGACAACAGCAAAAAGGAGCAAACACCUGUUGUUAAAUUUUUCAUAUAUAUAUAUCUAGCGAAUCUUGCAUCAAAUUAAAUUGCGCGAAAAUCGUUCAAAAAGUUGCUUGCAUUUUGUCAAAAGAAAUCUUUUAGUAUUCACUUUAAAAUAUUGAUUUUAUGUUCUUUACAAAUUCAAAUUAACAAAACUUAUUCUCAACCUAAGUUUCCAUGAAAUCACCCCACUACUUGCAUGCAGUCAUCUUUUAUGCACGAAAAAGGUUUGCUUCUACUCUUUUUUAGUGAAAAAAUGAAUAUGGAUUGAGUCCUACCUCACUUAUUUAGGGGAAAAAAUGAAUAUGGAUUGGAUCAGAUUCUACAUUUUUAGGGAUAAAAAUAGAUAUGGAUCGGGUCUUUAAAAAAAAAAAUACAAAUGGAUCUAACCCUUUUUCCUAAAAAAGGAUCAUAUAUGGGUUAUGUGAUAAAUUUAAGAUAAAAAGUGGUCGAAAAUUUAGAUUGGAAUCAAAUUUUACUAAUUAAAUUUGUAAUAGACAUAAAAUUAUUAUUUUAAAAGCAAAUAAUAAAAAAAUUAUUUGACAAAAUGUGAUGGACGUUCUGAAUGAUUUUUCUUUAAAUUGUCUAAACAUGUCUCUGUAACUUGCUUGGACCUACACAAAUUAAAAAGAAAAAAAAAACAGAAAGAAACAAACAUCUAGACCUCACGAGGUCCAUGCUUAUAGAUUGGAUUCAAUUACGCCACCUAAUAUUCUGCUGUGAUAAGAAUAGGAUUUGGUUGGCUCUUUCUUCAACUUUAUUGAAAAUGAAGUAAAUAAACUAUUUAGGUUGAAGUUUCAAUGAAAGCCGUUCAUAUUUGACCAACCAAAUUAAAUUCUUUGUGCUUCAAAGUUCAAGCUAUCCACAGAUAAUUAAUGUCAUAGGUUUGGUGAGAUAUAGAAAAUUUAAUAGUAUGACAACUUGUCUAUGUAUGUAUGUAUAACUAGUUGAGCUACGAUGUGUUGCGCACGGCAAGUGCCCACCGAAGAGUAUUCAAUGUAUGAAAUGAUUCAAUAUUAUAUUCGUGGUAGUUGUAAUCAUAUUUUUUGGAAAAAAUAACAAAACGUAGAAGUGUUUUCAUCAUUUAGAGAUGACAACGUAAUUGGUGUUUAAAAAGAAAAAUGUGCAUAUUUUUUUCACGAAAAACAUUAUUUUAGUAGUAUAAAAGAAAAUGUGCAUGGUUGUUUUAAAAAAUAUACCAAUUCCGUUAAACUCUAAAGAAGUAUUUAUUUUAAACUCUUUAUAUAUGAAAAGGUAGUUUUUAUUUCUGUUAGUUUGGAAUAGUAUAGUUCUUUUAUUUAUUUAUUUAUUUUUUGCAUGACGUUGCACUAUUGAAUUAUAUUGUGAAGAAAACAAAUAAUUAGAGGACUGGAAGCUCAUUGUUCGGAGAUUUUCUUGACUCGCCUUGCGGACAUUAUGUGAUAGAAAUCUCUUUAAUUUUCAUCUCAAAUAAGCUUGCCACCUAUAUAUCUAAAAAUCAGGGACAAUAUCUAAAAAAUAAUGGUAAAAGGUUUUAAACUCUGGCAAAGUACAUCACAAAGUUAACAAUCCCCACGGUAACUAAGAGGAGAACAAUUGAUAAAUUCAAAUCCAACAGCUCAAAAUUGACAAUAAAAAAGUAUUCAUUUAAUAAAACAAAAUAAAAAUAAAAGAGUUUUGUUUCUCUUAUACUUUUUUUUUUCAGAGCCAUAGUAUAAGUUUUGGUAGAUUUUUUUCCCUCUAAAUCCCAAACAAAUAGAAAAACCUAAAAUACAAAUUCAAACACAUGAUAUAGUUAUAUUUACUUUCUAAAAAAAUAAGCCUGCAUUUACACAUAUAGUUUGUAGGCUUUUUUUUAAAAAAUUUUAAUACUAUAAAACAGAUUCAAGUCUACAUUGGUUUUCUUUUUCUUUUUUUUUUUCAUAGCAAGUGGCUGGACUGCCCUUUUCUUACCAUACUUCAUAUCAUAUCAUUAUUCCAUGACCCAAAAUUUGCAACCGGUUAGAUUCUUAUAAUGGCAGAACAAAAGGUCAAUGCAGCAAAAGAAAUGCAAACUUCACCUCCCAUAAUGCUAUACGGAAGUACCUGAAGGGGCUACGGUAGAACCAACUGGUUCUUAUAUUGUAAAUAGUUAGAUAGUUAGAUAUGCUGGAUGUGAAAGCAUUAGUUGAUUUGAGAGGUAAUUUUUAGGCACCUGUUGUUUCGCAAACAUUUUAUAUGUGUAGAACGAUAAUGACUCUACUGCGACACAUUACUGACAUUCAUAUGUCUAAACCCAUCUUUCCCUAUACUCUUUUUUUUUUUUUUUUUUUUUUUUUUUUUGACACAAGGGUGUCUGAAUCAACUUUUAUGGAAUCCGAUUAAUUUCCUGCGAUCCAGACCCGACGCCACAACUCGACUCGAACGCGAUAAGUGUUUGGAGGAACCCAGCGAAGCGGAGACUCGAACUUGAGACUUUAAGGAUCACCGGUGAGAGGUGCUACCGCUAGACCAUUCACGCGGGGAUCCAUCUUUCCCUAUACACUUGAAUUUCCAUGUGAAUUUCAAUAUUCUAUUCAACAACUGGAGGGGGAAAAAAAGGAUACAUCAUAACUACAGUAUGAAGGACAGUAAUUUUUCUGGCCCCAAUCAAAUACGGAUGGGGAACAGCUAAACUCAUUAUUCUUACUGAUACAUGAAAUUUCCUUCUCAUUUUCUGGUUGCUCAUGUGACCCUUAUAUGAUACCUUAAUUUCUUUGCAGGAAUAAAGUACUGGUCAGAAUUCCAAGCUUGAUGUUGUCUGCGGACAUCCACAGAGCGAAAUUUUAGGUGGAGGGGCGGAACGGUUGUCAGAUUAGGCCAAAAAAAUUUAUGCAGUUCAAAUCACUCAUUGUAAUUUGAUUUUUAUGCCGUGUGGGACCCACAAAAGUGUUGUUCUAGUGUUAUUCGCUGUUAUUUUAUUGUUACACUUUGUACAGAUGAUAUUACAUUGUGUGCGAAUGGUGUUACACCUUCCGAAACGGUUACUUUGACAAUCGUUCCAGCCCCCGAAUCCAAAAUUUUAUGGAGGCAUAUGUAGUAAUCGAUUCAGAAUCAAUCGAUAAACUUUACGCGGAUACAUAAGAACUUCACUUGCUAAUUCACAGGUUAGGUGAAGUUGAUUUUGGCAUGUUAAAUGAAAGCAAGUGUUAAUUGAUUCGGGACCAACUAACUACCUGGUAAUUGUUUGGGAUUGACAUAAAAUUUUUUCCAAGCAUGAUCUUAUAGUGCCAGUUUCCUUUUACAUCCUUGCUUUUGGGAAGCUUGGAUACUUCUACAAAAAGAUCUGUGCGUGAUAGUCAAGGGUAAAAAAGUUUUUUUUUUUUUUUUUUAAAAAAAAAGGGGAGUAGUCCAGUGAGGUGCCAGGGAGUAGUACACUAAACGAUGAAAUGCCCGCAAAUCUAGACAAAUUGUAAUUUAUCCAAAUCCCAUAAAACUACGAUAAAAUACAACAAUAGAAAUACCGUAUUUUCGUAACACUAAAAUAAAAUCACAGUAAAAAAACCGUCCCCAGCUAAAGCAAAAGCCAUAAAUUUUAUUAAUAAUAAUCGAGAAUUAUAAGGAAAAUUUAAAUGCAAUGCCAAAUUUGGCCUUGGUAGGUUGUCGUUGAGAAUUGAGGAGAUUUGAGACUAGAAAGCAGAGAGACUUUCCUCUGGUGCGCGAAAUCGAGAGUUUGUCUUCUCUAUUAUUCACGUACACCCUGUUUCUCUCUCUCUCUCUCAUCGUUAUUUUUUUUUUAUUUCUCUCUUUCUCUCUCUUUCUGUGUAUACUUAUAUUUAGGGGACUUAUAUAGUUUUAUGUAUAAUGUGCAUCGGCAAGGGAUUUUGCAGCUCGAUCUGUAAGUUGUUUUAAUCAGUUUUUUUGCACGAAUUUUCGGUUGAAUUUUUUUAUCUGAUGCAUUGAAUUACAGCAGAAAUUUGGGGUGAAUUUGAAAGCCCUAGAUCUUACUUGAUUCGCAGUUUGAUUGGAUCGAGUAGGGCGAUUUUGGUUUGACCAAGUGGGUUUUGUAAUUGGAUCUGGAAAAAUUACUAGCUAGAAUUUGAUAGGGUUUUAAUUUUGGUAGCGGUGACUUUCUUUUUAUUGUUUUAGUGAGAAGUAUUCUCUAGGGUUUGAGUUGAUGGCUUCGAAUCCUCCAUUCCAAGUGGAGGAUCAGACUGAUGAGGAUUUCUUUGAUAAGUUGGUGAACGAUGAUGACGAUGACGUUGAUCUUAAGGUCACUGCCACGUCAUCGUUGGCUUCCACCGCCUCAGGGCCUGUUUUCACGGAUGGGGAUGAGUCUGACGAGGUUAAGGGCUUUGCGAAUUUGAGUCCAAAUGAGGCCGAUGAUAGUGAUAAGAAUGAUAAAAAGAUGGGAAUAGAUGAUUUGGGUGGGAAAUUAGAGAGGGAGCCGAAUGGCGUGGUUAAUGAAGUUGUUGAGAUUGAUGCUAAAGGGGCUGUGGCGGUGGAGGGUGUAGUGGAGGAGAGUAAUGGUGUUUUGGAAUCAUCGAGUUCAUUUGAGUUUGCAGGUGUAGUUGAGGAAAAUAAUGAAAAUGUAGGUACUGAGGUUUUGUCUGAUGCGACCACCUCUAGUAAGAGUGACGGAUCUGGAGCUUUGGGUGUGAAGGAGGUGCAAUGGAGUGCCUUUAAUACCAAACAGGCUCAGAAUGAUAGUAAUGGGUUUGGAUCCUACUCAGAUUUUUUCACCGAGUUGGGAGAGAAAGCUGGCGAUUCAAGUGCCAAUAUGCUGAACAAUUUUGAUAAUGAGAUAAAGGGUAUAUCUGCCAAUGAAAAACAUGAAUCUGCAUAUUUGGAUAGCUCAAAUUAUGGGGAUUUUCAAGAUAGUUAUAAUUAUGGUAC